RNAcentral lists this ribosomal RNA (301 nucleotides) under uncultured bacterium. Its description in RNAcentral is "partial 16S ribosomal RNA". It matches the Rfam family "Bacterial small subunit ribosomal RNA", at positions 509 to 807 of the family's 1533-position model. The record is from RNAcentral.
CAGUCGCCGCGGGAAUACGGAGGGCGCGAGCGUUACCCGGAUUUACUGGGCGUAAAGGGCGUGUAGGCGGCCUGGGGCGUCCCAUGUGAAAGGCCACGGCUCAACCGUGGAGGAGCGUGGGAUACGCUCAGGCUAGAGGGUGGGAGAGGGUGGUGGAAUUCCCGGAGUAGCGGUGAAAUGCGCAGAUACCGGGAGGAACGCCGAUGGCGAAGGCAGCCACCUGGUCCACUUCUGACGCUGAGGCGCGAAAGCGUGGGGAGCAAACAGGAUUAGAUACCCCGGUAGUCCCUGUCUCUUAUAC